UUUUGUUUUUCUUUUUACUCCAAUGUAAGUCUUGCUCUGUACCUCGACUGAUGACUUAUCAGUCUUCUUUAAUGAAAUGAACUUCUUAUUGAUCUCAACCUGAAGACAAUGACUCUUUGUCCAGGCUCUGAUUAUGGUUUUUCUGUCUUCUUUUUGUUCUGUUUUAGAACUGUUUUCGUUCUUACUCUAAGUACAAGUUUUUAGGUUCUAUUGUUAAGGGGGAACUGUUUUCACCCCAUGUUUAGAACUUG
Molecule: long non-coding RNA, 251 nt
Filed under: Salvia miltiorrhiza (redroot sage)
Lineage: Eukaryota; Viridiplantae; Streptophyta; Magnoliopsida; Lamiales; Lamiaceae
Description: long non-coding RNA (SMIL_LNC012622)
Source: RNAcentral